Long non-coding RNA from Helianthus annuus (common sunflower), 577 nucleotides. RefSeq lists it as uncharacterized. The record is from RefSeq and is a predicted model, not a curated record. NCBI's taxonomy places the organism in Eukaryota, Viridiplantae, Streptophyta, Magnoliopsida, Asterales, Asteraceae. The transcript is spliced from 3 exons.
UUCAGUGGUUAGUGUAUGUUUAUGUGUGUGUGUCGACACCCAAGGAGAACAAAGAAGAAGGUUCUCCCAAACACUCUAAAAUCCAGAAAUUUAAGAAGGAUUUGAAGCUAAAUCAAUGCAUGAAUGAAGAAUCCUUACCAUCUCAUGCUAAUGAACAUGUGUAUAGGGAUAAUGUCAAGAUGGAUGGAAGCAUGGAAGGCUAACGGGUCAAAAGGAGGCGAGGAAACGAAUACGAAUACGGACACUUAAGGCUAGUCAGAUAUUCAUGAUGGACAAGUGAACGAGGGUCGAGUUGAAGGUCAUGGAUUGUACGGGAAAACGGUCACGUUGUUUGCAAUUAUUUGUUAACAUAGUAACAUUAAAUAAAUGAUGAAUGAUGUAUUUAUGUUAAAAGGGUUGACCUAAACGGUAUUCAAGUAUGUUAGAGUAGUUAAAAGAAAGAAAUUUUACGGUUCAUUUUCCGCUGCGUCGUUUUGGGUUAAAUCAUGAUUACGGUCUUACAUUGCAACAGUUUUUGUAAAAUACAUGUUGCACUUCCUGUAAAUUGCAUAAUAAAGGAUGGAAUUUUGAAAAUUGA